AGGAUUUGACAAAUUUGAAUACUUUUUUUGAAGGUUUUUUAUACAUUAAUAUAUGUACAUUUCUACAUGAUUAACCCUUUCCUGAAGUGGAUCAGUAGACUAAAAAAACUUUUGUGUUCUCUCAGCAAUUGCUAGUAAAUUUCACGCUUAAUUAAAUUACAGAACAUAACUUUAACACAGAAUAUAUUGAACAUAAUUCCGGAAAUUGUAAUGCAUACUUCAAUAAUCUUUGUUUUGUGUACGACAUCAAUUUUUUUUUUACAGUGAAUAUUUGGGGGUGGAGCGAAAUGUUUGAAAACCCCUGCCCUAAAAAAGCUUAGUGACAGAGCUUAGGGAAACAUUUCAAGCCUUAUAAUUAACUUAACUCCAUGCGAUACUAACUUUACAGCGGAUUUGUGUAGGUCCAACUGUUUGUCCUUUGACUACAAAACGCGUUUUUGCGCCCGUAUUGUGUCAGACAUAAGUGUUGAUGUGUUUAUUGGUAGGAACUGCAGAGGAAUGACAGAGUGAGCUGCCACAGAGGAAUCUGCAGAGGUCAAAGUCUGUCUGCGAUCCAUGGGCUGUUUCUGCUGACUCCUGCUUUUCAAUGGUGCUACUUACAGACUCCUCAGACGGCAGAAAACACCGCUGAAAGGGAGGGGGAGAGGCGCCUUUCAUUAACUCUCUAUUCAUAUUGAAUUUAUUAAUCUCAUGCUGUUUCUGCAGCUUAACUAAAAGAAGCCGCGAUACUGCCGCUUUUCAUCCAUCUGCUCGUGGAGAGAAGGGAAGGGAGCGGGUACGAGAGGGAGAGAGGCGACAUGAUUUCUAACAGCGCUGAAACGGCAAUAGACUGCAGAGAGAGGGAAAGUGUGUCAGAUUAUUUAGCGGCAGGGAUGUUGGGUUGUAGUUGUGUGUCGCUGGGAGAGGCAGCAGCCCUGCAGAACACCCCUCCCCACGUCAGGUGCACAACAAAAGCAUCUGUCAUGUCUGCAUUUGUGUACAGGGGAAUGUUCCUGCUAAUCUCCUGUGUGUUCAACAGUGUUUUCCAGUCUUGCAGCCCUGGCCUCUACUGUAUACCACAGCAGUACCACAAAAGCAAUCCUGGCUAAGUGAUAGAUCCAGACGGAAUCUGGAAAAAAAAAAAAAAGUUUUUUGAUCUGUGGAAUUCUGCAGAACAACGUGUCAAAGAUUGCUGAUACACUGCCCUCUAAUUUCUGACUGUAUGCAUACGAGUCAAUGAAAUUAUGCUCAUCUUGUGUCCCUUCCGUUCAAUACUUGUUUCGUCAUCAGAUCAGAUUUGGAGAAAUUUAGCAUGACUUGCUGACCAAUGGAUCCCCUGGAGUGAAUGGGUGCCGUCAGAAUGAGAGUCCAAACGACUGAUAAAUACAUCAGAACAAUCUAAGAGUAACCCACACAGCUCCGCUCCAUCAUCUUGUGAAGCAAAAGGCUUUUGGUGUUCAAAUUCUGCAGAAUUCUGAUAAUAGACAGACCUCCUAACAACUGGCUAAAAACUCCCAGUGUCAAGCAACAAAAGAGAAGGCUUUCCCAGAGUUCAGCUGAAAAGGUAUUGACUGACACAAUCUUACACGGUUCAGGGGAGGUUUAUGGUCGGAGGCAGCUUCCGUCUGUGGUCAGCAGGUCCUCUCUGCAAACAAAAACAGCACUGGGCAUUUUCAGAGAUGAGAGGGGCAGAGAUGCUUGUUCAAUCCUUCAGUGUUUCUAAACAAGGACAUCCAGCGGAGAACUCAGCCAGGGCCACAAUUACCCCCUAAAUGACCCAUUCAGUGGUUUGGAGCUCUUACCAAAAUAACCGUGAACCCUUACUGUGUACUCUGGUUGAGCUUGAAGAGCUAACAGGGUAUUAGACUGAUUGUAGUGCUGGGAAGAGCAGAGAGGUCCUCAAAGACCCUUGUUCAGGGUGUCUCCGGUGACUGAUCCACACCUGCAGUGAUGGGAAAGAGAGCAGCUGAGAUCUGGAAGCAGGAACCUUCAUCAAAAAUAAUGAUAACUCACUAUGAUGAAGCGUUUGACCAAAUGAUGGAAGUUAAUAAAAUUAUUAUCAUGACAUUUAAUUUAAAGGUAAACUUAUUAUUCACAAAAUGAAAGAAGUCUCCUUUUAUUACCAAAGCUGCACUUAUAUAAUCAAAACAUAACGUAAAAUAUCGUAAAAUUAUAUUGUUUGCUGAUUUGAUGCUCAGGAAACAUUUACUAUCACUCAAGUGUUGAAAACUGAUUUUGCAGCUUAAUAUUUUUUUGGAAACGGCGAUGCAUUCAAAAGUUUGGAGCAAGAUUUAAAUAUAUAUGUCUGUAAGUGUGCAUUAGAUAAAAGCAACAGUAAAGAUAUUUAUAUUGUUCAAAAAAUGAGUAUUCACAAUCUUGCUUCGUGUAAUUUGAAGUUGAUAUCUAGCGUGUUUGUGUGAUAGUAAAUGCAUAUAUUUUUAUGUAUGCACUGAAAGAAGCAGUCAGACUGCUCCUGUAUUUACACACGCAAUGCCCUUUUUGAACUUCUGAAUCCCUCCUUGACUCCACUUUUGCUGAAAGGAGCAGGAAGGAUAUCACCACUUAGCCUGUGUAAACAGCAGGUCUGCUGUUGAACUGUGGCCCUGCAACUCCUAUUGACACACAUUCCACUGACCACUGAUGAGUCCCGGGUCUGCUAGCGCGUGUCUUAUGUGCCCCGCGUGACAACGUGUGAAAGUGUGUUUGUGUGUGUGUGUGUGUGCGUGCGUGUGGGUAUCAGACAAACAGCGAAGGAGGUGGCGAAUCAGCUUUGCAGAAAAGACAGUCUAAAUGCACUGGCAUGCUUAUUGAUAAAGAUUUGCGUAAAAAUAAUUGACAUGAAAUAGUAAUAAAAUAUCGUUAAAAAUUACGAUAAAAAUGAACUUCAACAUUAUAAAUAUAUGCAAAAUAAUAAAUGAAUAAUCAACUUUUUUUUAAUAAUUAGGUAUGUUGAAAAAAAGUUAUGUAAUGGACAAACAAUGGGAAUUUGCCAUCUAUUCUAUGUGAGACAUGACCUUGUAAAUAAACGCAGCCA
This is a long non-coding RNA of Puntigrus tetrazona (Sumatra barb), 3013 nucleotides long. RefSeq lists it as uncharacterized. The transcript has 3 exons. NCBI's taxonomy places the organism in Eukaryota, Metazoa, Chordata, Actinopteri, Cypriniformes, Cyprinidae. The record is from RefSeq and is a predicted model, not a curated record.